GAAAGUUGACCUCGGAUCAGGUAGGAAUACCCGCUGAACUUAAGCAUAUCAAUAAGCGGAGGAAAAGAAACCAACAGGGAUUGCCCCAGUAACGGCGAGUGAAGCGGCAACAGCUCAAAUUUGAAAUCUGGUCCUUGUGGCCCGAGUUGUAAUUUGUAGAGGAUGCUUUUGGUGCGGUGCCUUCCGAGUUCCCUGGAACGGGACGCCAUAGAGGGUGAGAGCCCCGUCUGGUUGGAUACCAAGCCUCUGUAAAGCUCCUUCGACGAGUCGAGUAGUUUGGGAAUGCUGCUCUAAAUGGGAGGUAUAUGUCUUCUAAAGCUAAAUAUUGGCCAGAGACCGAUAGCGCACAAGUAGAGUGAUCGAAAGAUGAAAAGCACUUUGAAAAGAGGGUUAAAUAGUACGUGAAAUUGUUGAAAGGGAAGCGUUUGUGACCAGACUUGGGCCCGGUUAAUCAUCCAGCGUUCUCGCUGGUGCACUUGGCCGGCCCAGGCCAGCAUCAGCUUUCGGCGGGGGAAAAAGGCGGCGGGAAUGUAGCUCCUCGGAGUGUUAUAGACCGCCGCAUAAUACCCUGCUGGGGGCUGAGGUUCGCGCAUCUGCAAGGAUGCUGGCGUAAUGGUCAUCAACGACCCGUCUUGAAACACGGACCAAGGAGUCGUCUUCGUAUGCGAGUGUUCGGGUGUCAAACCCCUACGCGUAAUGAAAGUGAACGCAGGUGAGAGCUUCGGCGCAUCAUCGACCGAUCUUGAUGUUCUCGGAUGGAUUUGAGUAAGAGCAUACGGGGCCGGACCCGAAAGAAGGUGAACUAUGCCUGUAUAGGGUGAAGCCAGAGGAAACUCUGGUGGAGGCUCGCAGCGGUUCUGACGUGCAAAUCGAUCGUCAAAUAUGGGCAUGGGGGCGAAAGACUAAUCGAACCUUCUAGUAGCUGGUUUCCGCC
RNAcentral lists this ribosomal RNA (934 nucleotides) under Thyronectria nolinae. Its description in RNAcentral is "eukaryotic LSU rRNA". It matches the Rfam family "Eukaryotic large subunit ribosomal RNA", at positions 1 to 962 of the family's 3401-position model. Lineage: Eukaryota; Fungi; Ascomycota; Sordariomycetes; Hypocreales; Nectriaceae. The record is from RNAcentral.